This 638-nucleotide ribosomal RNA is filed under the name uncultured archaeon. RNAcentral's name for it is "bacterial SSU rRNA". It matches the Rfam family "Archaeal small subunit ribosomal RNA", at positions 96 to 735 of the family's 1478-position model. The record is from RNAcentral.
ACACGUAGUCAAUCUAACCUAUGGAUGGGGAUAACCUCGGGAAACUGAGAAUAAUACCCAAUAGGCCAUUAUGCCUGGAAUGGUUUAUGGCUUAAAUGAUUUAUCGCCAUAGGAUGGGACUGCGGCCUAUCAGCUUGUUGGUGAGGUAAUGGCCCACCAAGGCUAUAACAGGUACGGGCUCUGAGAGGAGGAGCCCGGAGAUGGGUACUGAGACACGGACCCAGGUCCUAUGGGGCGCAGCAGGCGAGAAAACUUUGCAAUGUGCGAAAGCACGACAAGGUUAAUCCGAGUGAUUUCUGCUAAAGGAAUCUUUUGUUAGUCGUAGAACCACUAGUGAAUAAGGGGUGGGCAAGUUCUGGUGUCAGCCGCCGCGGUAAAACCAGCACCUCAAGUGGUCAGGAGGAUUAUUGGGCCUAAAGCAUCCGUAGCCGGCUAGGUAAGUUUUCUGUUAAAUCCAUGCGCUUAACGUAUGGGCUGCAGGGAAUACUGCCUAGCUAGGGAGUGGGAGAGGUAGACGGUACUCCGUAGGAAGGGGUAAAAUCCUUUGAUCUAUGGAUGACCACCUGUGGCGAAGGCGGUCUACUAGAACACGUCCGACGGUGAGGGAUGAAAGCUGGGGGAGCAAACCGGAUUAGAUA